UUGCAAGAUGCCACGAAGAAGAAUGUGACCAUCACAGCUGCACUGUGACGAGCGGAAAGUUACGGUCACGGGAAAAUACAACAAAAGUGUCCUUCUGGCCACCACUGAAGCAGUUUUCGACAUCACCACGCUGAGGGAGACUUGGAUACGAUGGAGAAUAAAAAUCCAUCAAGAAAGACAACGGACACACAGAAAAUUAAGGACAUGCAGUGCUACACAAAUCCCUCAAAAGAGGAAUCCGGGUGUUUUGCAUUUGUAGGAUGGGAGGAUGGUUAUACCGGCAAAAUCUUUACAGAGCUGCCAUUUUGAAAAGGGAUGAGGCUCCAGUACAGCUGCAAGAUCUUCGAUCAGGAGAUCCCGUUUUAGCAAAAUGGUCAGAUGGUGCUGAACCAUCAUUUGCCCUCGCAUGUUCCUAUUUGAUGCACUUUUUGAUCACUUUUUCCUUAUUGAAGAGUGUCAACGUGCAAUCCCUUUCGGUCGUCGUGCAAUCCCUUUCGGUCGUCCUGGCAUCAACGCCUCAGAAAAGGGGGUCCUUGACCAGAAAAAAGUCACAGGAAUCAUGACCUAUGUCGUGAGGUUUUCGAAUUUGCCUGGGAAUUUGCCUGACUGGGAUCAUAUGGAGGAGGCAAACUAAAAAAAAGCCUUUGCAUAUAAAUGUAGAGCAAGAGCCAUUUCGUAGGAGUGCUGUAUCUCCAAAUUCUCUCCAGUUGAGGUUUACCUACAGGUAGUCCCCGAUUUACGAACAAGUUCCGUUGCUGUGUUGGCGCCGUAGCUCCGGUGUUCUGCCAAAAUCUGCAUCGGUGAAACGUCUACUUGAGUCGAAUUUGACACCCAAAGUAGUACUGUGCGCGCUCAACUUUUUUGUUUAGAUGCAUACAGGGAGAACGUACUAAAAAAAUGCCUUGAGAAAAUACUUAAAUGUAGUUGUAUUAAAUACAGUUUAAAUGCGCUACGUGACCAAUGUGGUCAACUGCUUUAAAGCUAGAACAAAAAAAUGGUUAAAAGUAUGAGAGGGUAAUAACAUGCAAAAAGUACUUUUGAGGCCAUGAAAAGGUACUAACUAAACUCAAUAAAAACAAAAAUAGUGAGUACUAGCCGAUUUGCGAAUGCUUGCGCAAGCGCGCUGAGGACACAGGAUUUCCACAUAAGUCGGCAUGAACCCUUUAAGUACCUCAAAACACCUUCUAAAAAACAUCCCAAAACACAGAU
Molecule: long non-coding RNA, 1209 nt
Organism: Corythoichthys intestinalis (scribbled pipefish)
Lineage: Eukaryota; Metazoa; Chordata; Actinopteri; Syngnathiformes; Syngnathidae
Exons: 5
Source: RefSeq, a predicted model, not a curated record